This 565-nucleotide ribosomal RNA is filed under the name Bombus weisi. RNAcentral describes it as "partial 16S ribosomal RNA". It matches the Rfam family "Bacterial large subunit ribosomal RNA", at positions 1795 to 2642 of the family's 2925-position model. The record is from RNAcentral. Lineage: Eukaryota; Metazoa; Arthropoda; Insecta; Hymenoptera; Apidae.
UUCACCUGUUUAUCAAAACAUGGCUUAUUGAUAAUAAUUUUAAGUCAAUCUGCUCAAUGAUUUUAUAAUUAAAUGGCUGCAGUAUAAUUAACUGUACAAAGGUAGCAUAAUAAAUUGUCUUUUAAUUGAAGACUGGAAUGAAAGAAUUAAUGAGAUAUAUACUGUCUCAUAUAUAUUAAAUGAAUUUAAAUUUUUAGUAAAAAUGCUUAAAUAAUUUUAUGGGACGAUAAGACCCUAUAGAAUUUUAUAUUAAUAUUUUAUUAAUUAUUUAAUUAAAUAUUAAUAUUUAAUUGGGAGGAUUAGUAAAUAAGAAAAACUUUAUUUUUAAAAUAAACUUUGAUUUUAGAAUAUAUUUUUGAUCUUUUAUUAUAAAUCAAAAGAAUAAAUUACCUUAGGGAUAACAGCGUUAUAUCUUUUUAAAGAUCAUAUUAAUAAAGAUGUUUGCGACCUCGAUGUUGAAUUAAGAUAAAUUUUAAAUGAAGAAGUUUAAAAAUUAAGUCUGUUCGACUUUUAAAAUCUUACAUGAUUUGAGUUCAAAUCGACGUGAGUCAGGUUGGUUUCUAUC